GAGUUUGAUCGUGGCUCAGAUUGAACGCUGGCGGCAGGCCUAACACAUGCAAGUCGAACGGUAACAGGAAACAGCUUGCUGUUUCGCUGACGAGUGGCGGACGGGUGAGUAAUGUCUGGGAAACUGCCUGAUGGAGGGGGAUAACUACUGGAAACGGUAGCUAAUACCGCAUAACGUCGCAAGACCAAAGAGGGGGACCUUCGGGCCUCUUGCCAUCGGAUGUGCCCAGAUGGGAUUAGCUAGUAGGUGGGUAACGGCGUCACCUAGGCGACGAUCCCUAGCUGGUCUGAGAGGAUGACCAGCCACACUGGAACUGAGACACGGUCCAGACUCCUACGGGAGGCAGCAGUGGGGAAUAUUGCACAAUGGGCGCAAGCCUGAUGCAGCCAUGCCGCGUGUAUGAAGAAGG
RNAcentral lists this ribosomal RNA (409 nucleotides) under uncultured microorganism. RNAcentral's name for it is "bacterial SSU rRNA". It matches the Rfam family "Bacterial small subunit ribosomal RNA", at positions 9 to 414 of the family's 1533-position model. The record is from RNAcentral.